UACGUAGGGGGCAAGCGUUGUCCGGAUUUACUGGGCGUAAAGCGCGCGUAGGCGGAACGAUCAGUCCGGUCUGAAAGCCCCCGGCUCAACCGGGGAGGGUGGCUGGAAACUGUCGUUCUUGAGGGCGAGAGAGGAGGGUGGAAUUCCUGGUGUAGCGGUGAAGUGCGUAGAGAUCAGGAGGAACACCAAUGGCGAAGGCAGCUCGCUGGGACGGUACUGACGCUGAGGCGCGAAAGCCAGGGGAGCAAACGGG
This 253-nucleotide ribosomal RNA is filed under the name uncultured bacterium. RNAcentral's name for it is "partial 16S ribosomal RNA". It matches the Rfam family "Bacterial small subunit ribosomal RNA", at positions 524 to 776 of the family's 1533-position model. The record is from RNAcentral.